This 476-nucleotide ribosomal RNA is filed under the name uncultured bacterium. RNAcentral's name for it is "bacterial SSU rRNA". It matches the Rfam family "Bacterial small subunit ribosomal RNA", at positions 26 to 518 of the family's 1533-position model. The record is from RNAcentral.
AGGACGAACGCUGGCGGCGUGCCUAACACAUGCAAGUCGAGCGAGGAGAUCCUUCGGGAUGAUCCUAGCGGCGGACGGGUGAGUAACACGUGGGCAACCUGCCUCAUAGAGAGGAAUAGCCUUCCGAAAGGGAGAUUAAUACCUCAUAACAUUGCAGUUUCGCAUGGAGCAGCAAUUAAAGGAGUAAUCCGCUAUGAGAUGGGCCCCGCGGCGCAUUAGCUAGUUGGUGAGGUAACGGCUCACCAAGGCGACGAUGCGUAGCCGACCUGAGAGGGUGAUCGGCCACAUUGGGACUGAGACACGGCCCAGACUCCUACGGGAGGCAGCAGUGGGGAAUAUUGCACAAUGGGGGAAACCCUGAUGCAAGCAACGCCGCGUGAGUGAUGACGGCCUUCGGGUUGUAAAGCUCUGUCUUCAGGGACGAUAAUGACGGUACCUGAGGAGGAAGCCACGGCUAACUACGUGCCAGCAGCGGC